RNAcentral lists this long non-coding RNA (283 nucleotides) under Elaeis guineensis (African oil palm). RNAcentral's name for it is "long non-coding RNA (EGUI_LNC005973)". Lineage: Eukaryota; Viridiplantae; Streptophyta; Magnoliopsida; Arecales; Arecaceae. The record is from RNAcentral.
CAUCCAAGAAGUCGGCACACAUUGAUCGAAGAAGUUCGAUCAACAUCUGCCAUCAAAAGGGUGAAAUCACGAACUAGCAUUCGUGAGGAGCUGAUCAGACGGGAGCUUCGUGUGGACGAUCCGCAGAGGCCAGAUAUUUGUGUGGCUGUGAUGUGAUGAUCAGAGCCCUCCGACGGUGAUCAGAUUGCGGUGAUCGACUAUCCGCAAAAGGUGAUGUGUUCUGAACACAGUACUGUAAAAGGUUUACUGAUUCAAAUUUGAAUUUCAAAUUUAAAUACAUGCU